This is a non-coding RNA of Hydra vulgaris (swiftwater hydra), 1880 nucleotides long. Lineage: Eukaryota; Metazoa; Cnidaria; Hydrozoa; Anthoathecata; Hydridae. The record is from RefSeq and is a predicted model, not a curated record.
UAAAAACAUUUAAAAACAAAGUUUUGUGUACUUAGGAUCACAACAACCUGUGCCUACUUGCAGAGAGACUUACCUGUGACUGCAUAGUACAGCUUAUAGGAAAUCUUGCAUUGCUUGCUUGUUAUUAUUUUUUUCUAUUUUAUAUUUACUAUUGAUUUUUAUUUUUACUAGUGAGUAGUCAACAUAUCAGUGGAGUUAUGAAGCUCUAAAAAGGAGAUAUUUAUAAACGGUGACAAAGUAUUAAACCACUGGUUCGAUACUUCCCUCUAAUGGACAAGUACAGGGAGUUUUGUUCUAUAAUAUUCAUAAAAUGAAUUUAAGUAUCAAUAAAAGUGCAAAUCUUACUAUUUGUGAAAGUGUAUUUUACUGGAAAAAGGCUAAUUAAAUUGUUACCUAACUGUGUUAAGAAGCUAGUCUCAUUAUACCAAGUUUUGAUAGAUUUGCAAUAAAAUAGGGGAAAAAAAAAGAAGCGUUUGAACAACGUUGACUAGAGUUUCUUUCCAACUUAAAACAAUUUGUUUGCUCAUGCCGAUACGCUUUAGCUAAUUAAAAUAAAUGAAGAUAGGAUCUUCUUGGAGCGUCAAAAAGAACCAGGUCAGCCUGGUCACUUAAUUAGAGUGGACAAAAAACUUAAAGAAAAAGAAGAAAAGGCGCGCCUUAGAAACAUUGAGGAGAAAAAGCGACGUGCUAAAUGUUAUGAUUCAUUAGCUCCAUCGAUAUCAUAUGAACCACCACAAGAAAUCUUAUCUUCUGAUUUUGAUAUAAUAGAUUUUCAAGAAAAUAGACCCAGCCUAAGUGGUGAUUUCUUUCAGCCCGAUAAAAGUUGUAUUUGGAAAAGUUUUACAACUCCGAAGUUGGUUGCCGUGUUAGAUAAAUGUCAGUUAAGUGUGAGAAAUUCUGUAUUUAUAAUUGAAGCUAGUAUUGACGCACUAGAGCAUAAUACAUAUGACUUCUUCAAUCAAUAUAAUUAGUACUGAAAUGCAAAGAGAGCGGACUGAAGCUUUUAAUAUUAAUUAUCAAAACAAUAUCCUGGAUACUGUAACUGUCUACUGGGAUGGCAAACUAAUGUCGGCUCUAGAUUCACAUAAAUCUAAAAAAGAACACAUUCCAAUUGUUAUAUGGAAGCAAACAGGCACUAUCUGUUUGGAAUGCUAUUAUCAACUGGAAUCUUGGGGACAGAGUGCAGAUACUUUGAUACAAGAUACAAGACGAAAGUUCUUCACUUGAAGUAACUUCAAGUCUAGACAUUCUGUUGUUUAAAAAAAGGAAAGCUGUCUUGUUUAAAUGUUUCAGAAGUUGAUAAACUGCUAAAGUUCUAUCAAUUUGCUCUGUUGGAUGUCUGCCUGUUUAAUGUGUCAUACUAUGUCAAAUCCUAUUUUACAGAGGUUUUAUCAGCAUAUAUGGUAUUUGACAGAUGAAGUGUCUGUUUUGUCAACUUAGCUAAAGAAAACCCAUCAGCUUACAAUAAAUGUUACAUUGCAUGUCUUAUAUAGAAAAACAUCAAUGAUAUUGUCUCUAUCAAAAGCAAUUUCUUAUUUAAUCGACUCAAAAUUGAUGACAGUUUUCUGAAGAAGAGCCCUUUUUUAUGGUCAAAUAAUAAUUGUUACAAUAAGUUAAAAAGAACCUAUUGACACUGAGAGAAGUUAAUGAUACAACAGAAAGAGCGAUUAAAUUAAUGCCAGCCUUUCAUGGUUUAAUCACUGAACAGGAGUAAAAGCAAUAUUUAUUACAUUGCGUACAAGAACAUAGAUGUAUAUGCAGAUUGUAAAAAACGACUUUAACAGGGAACAUGUAUAUGCAGAUUGUAAAAAACAGACUUUAAAAAGGAAAUUUAAACAUUAUUUUAUCUUAUACUAUAAAUACAUUAUAAAUAUUAUGAA